Molecule: ribosomal RNA, 447 nt
Filed under: uncultured bacterium
Lineage: Bacteria
Description: bacterial SSU rRNA
Rfam family: Bacterial small subunit ribosomal RNA
Source: RNAcentral
UGCCAGACUCCUACGGGAGGCAGCAGUGGGGGAUAUUGCACAAUGGGGGAAACCCUGAUGCAGCGACGCCGCGUGGGUGAAGAAGCGCCUCGGCGCGUAAAGCCCUGUCAGCAGGGAAGAAAAUGACGGUACCUGAAGAAGAAGCCCCGGCUAACUACGUGCCAGCAGCCGCGGUAAUACGGAGGAUGCGAGCGUUAUCCGGAUUUAUUGGGUUUAAAGGGUGCGCAGGCGGAUUUUUAAGUCAGCGGUCAAAUCGUGGGGCUCAACCCCAUCCAGCCGUUGAAACUGGGGAUCUAGAGUGUGCGAGAGGUAUGCGGAAUGCGUGGUGUAGCGGUGAAAUGCAUAGAUAUCACGCAGAACCCCGAUUGCGAAGGCAGCAUACCGGUGCACAACUGACGCUCAGGCACGAAAGCGUGGGUAUCGAACAGGAUUAGAUACCCCUGUAGG